GGGUUGUGAGGUUAAGCGACUAAGCGUACACGGUGGAUGCCCUGGCAGUCAGAGGCGAUGAAGGACGUGCUAAUCUGCGAUAAGCGUCGGUAAGGUGAUAUGAACCGUUAUAACCGGCGAUUUCCGAAUGGGGAAACCCAGUGUGUUUCGACACACUAUCAUUAACUGAAUCCAUAGGUUAAUGAGGCGAACCGGGGGAACUGAAACAUCUAAGUACCCCGAGGAAAAGAAAUCAACCGAGAUUCCCCCAGUAGCGGCGAGCGAACGGGGAGCAGCCCAGAGCCUGAAUCAGUGUGUGUGUUAGUGGAAGCGUCUGGAAAGGCGCGCGAUACAGGGUGACAGCCCCGUACACAAAAAUGCACAUACUGUGAGCUCGAUGAGUAGGGCGGGACACGUGGUAUCCUGUCUGAAUAUGGGGGGACCAUCCUCCAAGGCUAAAUACUCCUGACUGACCGAUAGUGAACCAGUACCGUGAGGGAAAGGCGAAAAGAACCCCGGCGAGGGGAGUGAAAAAGAACCUGAAACCGUGUACGUACAAGCAGUGGGAGCACGCUUCGGCGUGUGACUGCGUACCUUUUGUAUAAUGGGUCAGCGACUUAUAUUCUGUAGCAAGGUUAACCGAAUAGGGGAGCCGAAGGGAAACCGAGUCUUAACUGGGCGUUAAGUUGCAGGGUAUAGACCCGAAACCCGGUGAUCUAGCCAUGGGCAGGUUGAAGGUUGGGUAACACUAACUGGAGGACCGAACCGACUAAUGUUGAAAAAUUAGCGGAUGACUUGUGGCUGGGGGUGAAAGGCCAAUCAAACCGGGAGAUAGCUGGUUCUCCCCGAAAGCUAUUUAGGUAGCGCCUCGUGAAUUCAUCUCCGGGGGUAGAGCACUGUUUCGGCAAGGGGGUCAUCCCGACUUACCAACCCGAUGCAAACUGCGAAUACCGGAGAAUGUUAUCACGGGAGACACACGGCGGGUGCUAACGUCCGUCGUGAAGAGGGAAACAACCCAGACCGCCAGCUAAGGUCCCAAAGUCAUGGUUAAGUGGGAAACGAUGUGGGAAGGCCCAGACAGCCAGGAUGUUGGCUUAGAAGCAGCCAUCAUUUAAAGAAAGCGUAAUAGCUCACUGGUCGAGUCGGCCUGCGCGGAAGAUGUAACGGGGCUAAACCAUGCACCGAAGCUGCGGCAGCGACACUAUGUGUUGUUGGGUAGGGGAGCGUUCUGUAAGCCUGUGAAGGUGUGCUGUGAGGCAUGCUGGAGGUAUCAGAAGUGCGAAUGCUGACAUAAGUAACGAUAAAGCGGGUGAAAAGCCCGCUCGCCGGAAGACCAAGGGUUCCUGUCCAACGUUAAUCGGGGCAGGGUGAGUCGACCCCUAAGGCGAGGCCGAAAGGCGUAGUCGAUGGGAAACAGGUUAAUAUUCCUGUACUUGGUGUUACUGCGAAGGGGGGACGGAGAAGGCUAUGUUGGCCGGGCGACGGUUGUCCCGGUUUAAGCGUGUAGGCUGGUUUUCCAGGCAAAUCCGGAAAAUCAAGGCUGAGGCGUGAUGACGAGGCACUACGGUGCUGAAGCAACAAAUGCCCUGCUUCCAGGAAAAGCCUCUAAGCAUCAGGUAACAUUAAAUCGUACCCCAAACCGACACAGGUGGUCAGGUAGAGAAUACCAAGGCGCUUGAGAGAACUCGGGUGAAGGAACUAGGCAAAAUGGUGCCGUAACUUCGGGAGAAGGCACGCUGAUAUGUAGGUGAAGUCCCUCGCGGAUGGAGCUGAAAUCAGUCGAAGAUACCAGCUGGCUGCAACUGUUUAUUAAAAACACAGCACUGUGCAAACACGAAAGUGGACGUAUACGGUGUGACGCCUGCCCGGUGCCGGAAGGUUAAUUGAUGGGGUUAGCGGUAACGCGAAGCUCUUGAUCGAAGCCCCGGUAAACGGCGGCCGUAACUAUAACGGUCCUAAGGUAGCGAAAUUCCUUGUCGGGUAAGUUCCGACCUGCACGAAUGGCGUAAUGAUGGCCAGGCUGUCUCCACCCGAGACUCAGUGAAAUUGAACUCGCUGUGAAGAUGCAGUGUACCCGCGGCAAGACGGAAAGACCCCGUGAACCUUUACUAUAGCUUGACACUGAACAUUGAGCCUUGAUGUGUAGGAUAGGUGGGAGGCUUUGAAGUGUGGACGCCAGUCUGCAUGGAGCCGACCUUGAAAUACCACCCUUUAAUGUUUGAUGUUCUAACGUUGACCCGUAAUCCGGGUUGCGGACAGUGUCUGGUGGGUAGUUUGACUGGGGCGGUCUCCUCCUAAAGAGUAACGGAGGAGCACGAAGGUUGGCUAAUCCUGGUCGGACAUCAGGAGGUUAGUGCAAUGGCAUAAGCCAGCUUGACUGCGAGCGUGACGGCGCGAGCAGGUGCGAAAGCAGGUCAUAGUGAUCCGGUGGUUCUGAAUGGAAGGGCCAUCGCUCAACGGAUAAAAGGUACUCCGGGGAUAACAGGCUGAUACCGCCCAAGAGUUCAUAUCGACGGCGGUGUUUGGCACCUCGAUGUCGGCUCAUCACAUCCUGGGGCUGAAGUAGGUCCCAAGGGUAUGGCUGUUCGCCAUUUAAAGUGGUACGCGAGCUGGGUUUAGAACGUCGUGAGACAGUUCGGUCCCUAUCUGCCGUGGGCGCUGGAGAACUGAGGGGGGCUGCUCCUAGUACGAGAGGACCGGAGUGGACGCAUCACUGGUGUUCGGGUUGUCAUGCCAAUGGCACUGCCCGGUAGCUAAAUGCGGAAGAGAUAAGUGCUGAAAGCAUCUAAGCACGAAACUUGCCCCGAGAUGA
This 2791-nucleotide ribosomal RNA is filed under the name Escherichia coli. RNAcentral's name for it is "partial 23S ribosomal RNA". It matches the Rfam family "Bacterial large subunit ribosomal RNA". Lineage: Bacteria; Pseudomonadati; Pseudomonadota; Gammaproteobacteria; Enterobacterales; Enterobacteriaceae. The record is from RNAcentral.